This 636-nucleotide long non-coding RNA is filed under the name Fukomys damarensis (Damara mole-rat). Its description in RNAcentral is "lncRNA (ENSFDAG00000029007.1)". Lineage: Eukaryota; Metazoa; Chordata; Mammalia; Rodentia; Bathyergidae. The record is from RNAcentral.
CUUUGUCUUGUGGGACCUACUGCAGUGGAUCAGCAAUCGCCCAGAAGUUUCCCUUCCCGGGAUGGCAGCCACUCAGAGGGUUUAUAGGCUGCUGAGAGCUGAGCCCCUUGGUAGCUCUCUUGGAAGAGAACGUUUUUGUUUUGCUUCUGUCCUCCUCUUUGUUUCCACUUUGCUGAGAUGUGGAUCAAAGGAGGCCAAAAAUGUCCAUCUGUGCAGCAAACGUUUCCUCCUUUUCUCUGCUGGGCUGACCUGGUUCUGUGUCAAUAGAUUCAAACAACUGAAGAUAAGAAAAUUUUAUUAAGAAAGCUUAAAGCCAUACUGAACACAGAAUAUGUCUUUAUCUUUUAUAAAAUAAUGCAAAAUGGAUUUGAACAUCAUGGAAUCUGGUACCUGUGGGGGUCCGGAAACCAAUGCCCACGUCUACCAAGCAACUUUUCUUGCUUCACUGGACACAGUAUCAAGUGAUCAUCUAUUCAAUGUAUCUUGCUGGCUAAUAAAAAUGUACAACAUAAAAUACAUGUAAGGAAUGUUUUAUCAUAUUUUGCUGUAGUACUUGUGCCCUUCUUUCUUCCUGUGCUUCUUGGAAAUCAGUGGCUAUAAUUUUUUUUUUAGUGGGAAGGUCUCCUGCCUGUGGGA